UCCCUCUUAGCUCAGUGGUAGAGCGCGUCACUAGUAAGGCUUGCCUUAUGACGAGGUCAGUCGUUCAAGUCGGCUAGAGGGAA
Non-coding RNA from Arthromyces matolae, 83 nucleotides. The record is from the annotation of a GenBank genome assembly. NCBI's taxonomy places the organism in Eukaryota, Fungi, Basidiomycota, Agaricomycetes, Agaricales, Lyophyllaceae.